AGCCAGGGGUGCUGGGGAGGGCGGGGGCUCGUGCAGGCUGAUGCGCCGCGGGGCGGGGCCUUGGGGCGAGUGUGGCCCCUCGGUUUGGCCCCUUACGGGCUCACGUCUGCGGCCGCGGUAACAGCGGCCAGACUCGAGGGGAAGGGCCGGCCGCGCCACCACGGAAAUCUGACGGGAGCUGGGGGACCCCGAGCCCUCCCCCAUUGCAAGGGGCCACCCCCCCGGGACGCGACGCGACUCCUUUGACCCAACAGGGUGCUCAGGGAGCCGCUGGGGCGGGGGCAGGUGUUAACCCGGAGCGGCCUCCUGCGAGGCUAAAGCCACCCCCAGCUGAGGCUGCGGGGCAGAGGGGAGGCGCCGUGCAGCGGGUCUGUGACGGGGGCUGUUUGAACGCAGCUGCAUUGAACAGGUCAACAAAUACAGUAGCAGAACAGAUUAUUUGGGUACGGUCUGUGCUACAGAGGGUGAAAGCUUUAUAAAAGAUGCAAGUGCAUGAAAAACUGCGAGUGCAUACAGGAAGCUGCUGUGUCAGCAGUGCAUUGCUUUGACUCCUGCUUGGAUG
RNAcentral lists this long non-coding RNA (562 nucleotides) under Chrysemys picta bellii (western painted turtle). Its description in RNAcentral is "lncRNA (ENSCPBG00000018533.1)". Lineage: Eukaryota; Metazoa; Chordata; Testudines; Emydidae. The record is from RNAcentral.